GAGGAAUAUUGCGCAAUGGACGAAAGUCUGACGCAGCAACGCCGCGUGUGGGAUGAAGGCCCUCUGGGUCGUAAACCACUGUUGGGAGGGAAGAACGUUCGGGGCAAGGCCCUGAAGUGACGGUACCUCCAUAGAAAGCCCCGGCUAACUACGUGCCAGCAGCCGCGGUAAUACGUAGGGGGCAAGCGUUGUCCGGAUUUACUGGGUGUAAAGGGCGUGUAGGCGGAUCGUUAAGUCAGAGGUGAAAUCUCACAGCUCAACUGUGAAAUUGCCUUUGAUACUGGCGGUCUUGAGUACGAAAGAGGAAGAUGGAAUUCCUGGUGUAGCGGUGAAAUGCGUAGAUAUCAGGAGGAACACCGGUGGCGAAGGCGGUCUUCUGGUUCGUAACUGACGCUGAGGCGCGAAAGCAUGGGGAUCAAAC
Molecule: ribosomal RNA, 421 nt
Filed under: uncultured bacterium
Lineage: Bacteria
Description: bacterial SSU rRNA
Rfam family: Bacterial small subunit ribosomal RNA
Source: RNAcentral